AAUAAGUUUCGGCAAUAUUUUGUCCUUUGGUGACACAGAACUUUUCCUUCACAGCUGCUCAAUAUGGCAUUUUCUCUCGCAUGCUCUUCUUGUGAUACUAUAUUGAAUUUCUGUUUUCUCCCCACUUCCAAUUAAUGCAAGAUGAGCCUUUUUUGAAAGGCCCUGUGGGAGUUAUGCACCCAUUUCUCAGCAAUUUUCCAUCUGAGCUGGCACCAAAUGUGCUUAAGAGAGUUCUUGAAAUCUCACCCGUAGAGUCUGAUCCUUAACUAAAGAGUCCCCAUUGGAAACUAUGAUUAUUACAAAGGUUACCAGCAAUGAACAUUACUUUGUUAUGCCUGUGACGUGUGUACCCUUGAUUCAUAACAAUAAUGACACUUUUCACCUAGGUAGCACUUUUCAUCUGAACUGAAUGAUCAGAGUCAGUAUUUCCAUUUUGCUGGUGUUUCAUAUAAAUCUCUGCAUUUGUCAUUGACAAAUGAAAGAGCUUCAGAAAUGUUUUCCCCAUCAUUUGUCUCCUGGAACCAAAAUGAAACAAGGAAAGUUCAUGUUGUAUCACAAAGAGUAGGAAAAAACCCAGAGAUUGUUGGCUCAGAGAACUUAGUAAUGGCAGAUAUGAUGAAAUAGCUGGGGGACAUGCUGGGCCCCACACUAAGUGUAAUGGAAGGCAUGCAGUCAGCACAUGGACCAAAACGCCCUUCGUAGGUCCUGGGGCACUGUAAGUGGGCCUUAAUAGCACAGCCUCCCCCUCCUCUUUUCAGUGCCCUGGUACGUAGAUAAUAGGGUUUUGCUGGUGUACUCUCCAUGCAUUCACUCGAAAUCAGCAUGUAACAGUGAAUCAUUGUGACAUGAUGUUCCUUUUUCAAGGGCUGUGAGAAAGAUAUUUUCCAGAUAGAGUUCAGUUUGUUUUCUUUUAUGUUUGAUGGGAACCACACUUGGUAUUUACAGUCUUUUAACAUUUCCUUGCAGCCACAAAUAUUCAGGCUGUUAUUACACGUGAAUCAAAGGUGUCUGACAAACUCCUUUGUCAGCAAGAAUGCAGGUAAAAGGAGGAGUAGGUGCAUGAGCAGCCCUCUGGGUAAAGAUAGUAUUUUGUAUACCAUCUAUGCUGAGUUUUCUUCCUUUUGCACAGCAAAAAUGCAACAACUGAAAGUUCACAAGUAGGAUUUCUGUUUUGGCUUAUUCUGUAAGUAGAAUUUAACAUAACAGCCUAAAAGCCCUCUUUAUUUCAGGCAUGAAAUAAUCAGUUCCCAAAGGAAACACAUCAUUUAAGCUGUUUGUUAAUGUGUCUAAAACUGUUAGAACCGGCUGUGCUGAGAGAUGUACAGAGGCACAGUCCAAAGAGAUAUAAUUCAAAAGAAGAUGGAGUAACAUGUUUCCUAAUUAGGAACUGUAUAGAAAAGAAGGUUGCAAACUUUUGUCUUAAUCUGUAAAAUCCUUCCCAAUAUUUCUGGCAGUUUGGGUCUGCUUCCCCUUCUGUUGCUAGCUUUUGAUGUAAAAAAGUGAUGUCACAGAAGUAAAAGCAACAAGAAAACCACAAAGUAAAGUAAAAAAUGUACAUAAUUGAAAACAUACCAGUGAAUGACUGCUCUGUGGUUUCUGUAAUGUGGACCCCAUAGGAGAAUGCAGUGUGUGGGACUCUGAAUAUAGCUAUAACUCUGGAGCUCUUUUUCCUAACUCCAGUGCUGUGUCCUAAGGGCAGAGGAGAUUCUUCCCAAUGAUGGCUUAAAAAUAUUAAAAGGACUUUUUCCAGGAGAUGAUCUACAAAAAAUACCCUUCAAUAAAAUGAGCAACGACCUCAUGAUGGGAUGCUCUUACCAAAAAAAAGCCCCCAGCAACAACAACAAAAAUGGGCUGUAGAGGCAGCGAUGAAUUGAAGCUCUUCAAAAGCCUAGAAAAAUAGAAUCAUUCAAAGACUAAUGGGUCAUAUGAACCUUAGCUGCUUGCCAUGAACUUGUAUUAAAUGUCUGAGAUUGUAAAAGACUACUGUUGUUGCACCGAUUUUGUGGUUUUAGAUCUCUACUCUUCCAGCUGUGCUCUGCAGAAAUUAGAUUUAUACCUAUCUGAUUCAUUCAUUGCCAUUGUCACAUUUAUUUCAAAUAAGAAAAGUUGUAAAUUUCACCAUUUUUACCUCAUUUUUAGUCACAGUUUUUGGAAGAACAGCAACAAAAAGAAGAGUUGCAAAAGGACUUGGACGGUUCCUUAGAGGAUAUCAUAAAUGGAGAAAGAACAAAGUGUAACCUAACAAAGUUUGGCAUACAAAGAUGCUUUAACACACCAGAUUUUAUCACCAAACUUUAUCAAGCCUCUUGAAGUUUUCUUUGCUGAAUAUUUUAUUUAAUUGAAGAUAUCGAAAAUGACAAGCAUUUUCAACCAAAGGAGCAGAGAAUAUAUCUGGUUCAUAACUGCCUGGUGCUGAAGAUGUUCUCCAGAGAAGCUGGAGGAUGUGGUCUGAAACAUUGUCAUGCAGAGGAGAGAAUUUGAGCCUGUCUCUUCCAUGUUCCGGUUGAGAAGACUAAUCAGAUUUGUACUGAGGGUUACAGUGUGAGAAGAAGGGAGGAUUAGUGGUUGGGUAACAUAUAAAUGCCAGAUUGUUAGAGGUUCUCAUAUGUUACCGCCUGGUAAGGAGCUGGUGACUGUUACAAGAAGAUGUCUCUUUCAGCCUGGAAAUGACCAGAAGUUUCUGUGUAAAGAAGUGGGUCAACUUCUUUUAUCUACUGGAUAUUGUAUCGAAUAUGUAACUGUACAAGAGUGCUGCAGUAACUUGACUUCAGGAAGUGCCACAACUGAGGAAAUGAAAAGCUGAAUAUGAACCAGUUGCCUCAACUAUUCCUGAAUUUAUGAAAUCUCAGAUAACAGGGAACAACGAAGUUUGGUCUCUUUGCAAAGACAAUGAGGGAUAAAGAUGGGAAAAUGAAGGAAAAUGUGAGAAGGACAAGUCAGCAACAUGUCAGUAUCUGGAAAAAUACCUAAA
Melopsittacus undulatus (budgerigar) is the source of this 2971-nucleotide long non-coding RNA. RefSeq lists it as uncharacterized. The record is from RefSeq and is a predicted model, not a curated record. The transcript has 4 exons. NCBI's taxonomy places the organism in Eukaryota, Metazoa, Chordata, Aves, Psittaciformes, Psittaculidae.